Molecule: ribosomal RNA, 492 nt
Filed under: uncultured bacterium
Lineage: Bacteria
Description: partial 16S ribosomal RNA
Rfam family: Bacterial small subunit ribosomal RNA
Source: RNAcentral
GAUGAACGCUAGCUACAGGCUUAACACAUGCAAGUCGAGGGGAAACGACAUCGAAAGCUUGCUUUUGAUGGGCGUCGACCGGCGCACGGGUGAGUAACGCGUAUCCAACCUGCCCAUCACUUGGGAAUAACCUUGCGAAAGUAAGACUAAUACCCAAUGACAUCCCACGAAGUCAUCUGAAUGGGAUUAAAGAUUUAUCGGUGAUGGAUGGGGAUGCGUCUGAUUAGCUUGUUGGCGGGGUAACGGCUCACCAAGGCAACGAUCAGUAGGGGUUCUGAGAGUCAGGUCCCCCGCAAUGGAAACGAGGCACAGACCACACGCGUACGGAGGAGAGCAGUAGGGAACAUAGGGGAAGGGACGAGAGCCUGAACCAGCCAAGUGGGGUACAGGAUGACGGCCCUAGGGGUUGUAAACUGCUUUUAAAAAGGAAUAAAGUGGGUCUCGGGAGACUUUUUGCAUGUACCUAAUGAAUAAGGACCGGCUAAUUACGUG